Molecule: non-coding RNA, 664 nt
Organism: Misgurnus anguillicaudatus (oriental weatherfish)
Lineage: Eukaryota; Metazoa; Chordata; Actinopteri; Cypriniformes; Cobitidae
Source: RefSeq, a predicted model, not a curated record
CCCCAUAGCGGAUCACGAGACUGAGGCAAAAAACUUUUAAUGUUUAAGCCAAGUUUAUACGAAAGAAGCUUUACGUGCACUCUCAUAUUCACACAUGCACCUGUUCUGUCUGACUUAUGAAACGUGACCAUAUCCUGUUCAGACACAGACCUGUGGCAGUCAGCAACAAUACCAAGACCGAAAUGCUACGCUGGACACAAGAUUGCUGACAUCCUCCGUGUACAUAUUUACCUUUUUCAAGUCAUGGGUAGUGUUUGAUAUGGAAACUGUCAUCUCAGCUCAAAUAAAGGAUGUGAAAGUUAUUUUUGGAUCAAUCUUUGAACCUCAUUUGGGAAGACUGAAGUGGCUUUGACUGAGAGACUGUCAACAGUGUCAGGAACCCAAAACAUUUUCAUCUUCAUUCCCUCAUUACUUAGUUUUCAAAGACAUUAUAGAAUUUAAGUGAGAAAAACUGGGCAAAUAAUCAAAUGUGUGCAAAAACAUGCUUAUUAGAUUGUAGUUAUUAACGGUUUAUAAAAAUUGUAGAAAUAAUAAACCUUGAAAUGUUCCUUAUUUUUGCUUAUUUACAAAAAACUCAUAUAUUUUGUAUCUUUCUUUAGCAAUAAAACAUAUCAGUUACUGUAGCAGGAGAUUUAUAUGGAUAUAAACAUUAUAUUUGCCUUGA